This 640-nucleotide long non-coding RNA is filed under the name Physcomitrium patens. Its description in RNAcentral is "long non-coding RNA (PPAT_LNC008270)". The record is from RNAcentral. Lineage: Eukaryota; Viridiplantae; Streptophyta; Bryopsida; Funariales; Funariaceae.
AAGACAUGUAAAGAUAUGAAAAAUAAUAAUAAAAAAAUUAACGAAUAAAGACAAUCAAGAUAAGUGUAGAAUCAAAUAUCUAAAAAUAAAUUGAUUAAUCUCAAUUUUAACUUUAACCUUAAUCUCAAAUUUGACCUUAAUUUUAACCUCUAUUUCAAUAUCAACCUUCAUUUUGAUAUCAACUUCAACUUUUGGAUCUUACAUCAAGGCUAAAACUACCAAAAGAUAAUAAUAAUAAUAAAAAAAAAAAAAAAAAAAAACUAUCAAAGAAUUAUUGAAAAUAUAAGAAUAGAUUCUAUAUAAAAGUAUAGAAGGAAUAUCUUAUAUUUCUUAUUGUAUUUGAAGUGAGAUAUUCACUUGAUACCAAUAAAAAUUGCAAGAAGAGAGAAGAAGGAGGAAGAAGGAGGAAGAAGGGGAGAAGAUAUCAAGAUAGUAGCAACCUUCGUACAAUAGUCUCAAUGGUUGGUUUAUAGAGGAGAUUAAGAGAUAAGGUCCUUAUAUGAGUUUUAGAAGGAAGAUCCUCUAGAACAAAAUAUUUCAAUUUAAAUUUUAUAUAGACCAAGUGAUUUUGUAAUUUUAAUAUUCUUUUUAAGAAUUCUAAACUUGCAAAUUCUGUGUCUCUUUCUAUGUCUUUUUCACU